This 1334-nucleotide ribosomal RNA is filed under the name uncultured bacterium. RNAcentral's name for it is "bacterial SSU rRNA". It matches the Rfam family "Bacterial small subunit ribosomal RNA", at positions 8 to 1362 of the family's 1533-position model. The record is from RNAcentral.
AGAGGGUGCUUCUGGCUCAGGACGAACGCUGGCGGCGCGCCUAACACAUGCAAGUCGAACGAGCGAGAGAGAGCUUGCUUUCUCGAGCGAGUGGCGAACGGGUGAGUAACGCGUGAGGAACCUGCCUCAAAGAGGGGGACAACAGUUGGAAACGACUGCUAAUACCGCAUAAGCCCACGGCUCGGCACCGAGCAGAGGGAAAAGGAGCAAUCCGCUUUGAGAUGGCCUCGCGUCCGAUUAGCUAGUUGGUGAGGUAACGGCCCACCAAGGCAACGAUCGGUAGCCGGACUGAGAGGUUGAACGGCCACAUUGGGACUGAGACACGGCCCAGACUCCUACGGGAGGCAGCAGUGGGGAAUAUUGCACAAUGGGGGAAACCCUGAUGCAGCGACGCCGCGUGGAGGAAGAAGGUCUUCGGAUUGUAAACUCCUGUUGUUGGGGAAGAUAAUGACGGUACCCAACAAGGAAGUGACGGCUAACUACGUGCCAGCAGCCGCGGUAAAACGUAGGUCACAAGCGUUGUCCGGAAUUACUGGGUGUAAAGGGAGCGCAGGCGGGAAGACAAGUUGGAAGUGAAAUCUAUGGGCUCAACCCAUAAACUGCUUUCAAAACUGUUUUUCUUGAGUAGUGCAGAGGUAGGCGGAAUUCCCGGUGUAGCGGUGGAAUGCGUAGAUAUCGGGAGGAACACCAGUGGCGAAGGCGGCCUACUGGGCACCAACUGACGCUGAGGCUCGAAAGUGUGGGUAGCAAACAAAGAUUAGAUACCCUGGUAGUCCCCCCCCUAAACGAAGAUUACUAGGUGUUGGAGGAUUGACCCCCUCAGUGCCGCAGUUAACACAAUAAGUAAUCCACCUGGGGAGUACGACCGCAAGGUUGAAACUCAAAGGAAAUGACGGGGGCCCGCACAAGCAGUGGAGUAUGUGGUUUAAUUUGACGCAACGCGAAGAACCUUACCAAGUCUUGACAUCCCUUGACGAUGCUGGAGACAGUAUUUCUCUUCGGAGCAAGGAGACAGGUGGUGCAUGGUUGUCGUCAGCUCGUGUCGUGAGAUGUUGGGUUAAGUCCCGCAACGAGCGCAACCCUUAUGGUCAGUUACUACGCAAGAGGACUCUGGCCAGACUGCCGUUGACAAAACGGAGGAAGGUGGGGAGGACGUCAAAUCAUCAUGCCCUUUAUGACUUGGGCUACACACGUACUACAAUGGCGUUAAACAAAGAGAAGCAAGACCGCGAGGUGGAGCAAAACUCAGAAACAACGUCCCAGUUCGGACUGCAGGCUGCAACUCGCCUGCACGAAGUCGGAAUUGCUAGUAAUCGUGGAUCAGCAUGCCACGG